Molecule: long non-coding RNA, 409 nt
Filed under: Physcomitrium patens
Lineage: Eukaryota; Viridiplantae; Streptophyta; Bryopsida; Funariales; Funariaceae
Description: long non-coding RNA (PPAT_LNC002825)
Source: RNAcentral
UGAACGGAGCCCCCAAGACCUUUCUGGAUGAGGCGUGGCUGUAACCCUAACUAGGGCUUUGCUGAAACUCGAGCGACUCGUCGUAGUCGUCGAAUUCUUCUUCUACUUCUUCUCCCUGGUCUUUGAGAAUGUAGACGGUGAAGCGUCAAGCAUCAGAUCCAGGAUGCCUCGGAAUCAAUAGUGACACAUAAAAGCCAUAAGACAGAAGAGGGAGUUAUGCUGCUUCCGGGAGUGGCGAGUCAUGGCAAUGGAAACCACUGAGCAUUGAUUCAAACCUUCCGUCGCUGCAGUAGUAUAUCCUAUGGCAACAGUAAUAACGACCCUCACUGCGCCUGGAGGCUGAAUCAGUUACUUAAAACACGUAAAGCAUCGGGAGUUAAUGCGCUCAGGGGGCCAUUAAGUAGUGCGA